GUUCACUUUGGCAGAACAUAUACUAAAAUUGGAACGAUACAGAGAAGAUUAGCAUGGCCCCUAGGUAAGGAUGACACACAAAUUCAUGAAGCAUUCCAUAUUUUA
Small nuclear RNA from Ailuropoda melanoleuca (giant panda), 105 nucleotides. NCBI's taxonomy places the organism in Eukaryota, Metazoa, Chordata, Mammalia, Carnivora, Ursidae. The record is from Ensembl.